AUCGAACGCUGGCGGCAUGCUUUACACAUGCAAGUCGAACGGUAACAGGCCGCAAGGUGCUGACGAGUGGCGAACGGGUGAGUAAUGCAUCGGAACGUGCCCAGUCGUGGGGGAUAACGCAGCGAAAGCUGUGCUAAUCCCGCAUACGAUCUAUGGAUGAAAGCCGGGGACCGUAAGGCCUCGCGCGAUUGGAGCGGCCGAUGUCAGAUUAGGAAGUUGGUGGGGUAAAGGCUCACCAAGCCAACGAUCUGUAGCUGGUCUGAGAGGACGACCAGCCACACUGGGACUGAGACACGGCCCAGACUCCUACGGGAGGCAGCAGUGGGGAAUUUUGGACAAUGGGCGCAAGCCUGAUCCAGCAAUGCCGCGUGCAGGAAGAAGGCCUUCGGGUUGUAAACUGCUUUUGUACGGAACGAAAAGGUUUGGGUUAAUACCCUGGGCCGAUGACGGUACCGUAAGAAUAAGCACCGGCUAACUACGUGCCAGCCGCCGCCGUAA
RNAcentral lists this ribosomal RNA (498 nucleotides) under uncultured bacterium. Its description in RNAcentral is "partial 16S ribosomal RNA". It matches the Rfam family "Bacterial small subunit ribosomal RNA", at positions 30 to 523 of the family's 1533-position model. The record is from RNAcentral.